Molecule: ribosomal RNA, 496 nt
Filed under: uncultured bacterium
Lineage: Bacteria
Description: partial 16S ribosomal RNA
Rfam family: Bacterial small subunit ribosomal RNA
Source: RNAcentral
AUGAACGCUGGCGGCGUGCCUAAUACAUGCAAGUCGAGCGAACGGACGAGAAGCUUGCUUCUCUGAUGUUAGCGGCGGACGGGUGAGUAACACGUGGAUAACCUACCUAUAAGACUGGGAUAACUUCGGGAAACCGUAGCUAAUACCGGAUAAUAUUUUGAACCGCAUGGUUCCAAAGUGAAAGACGGUCUUGCUGUCACUUAUAGAUGGAUCCGCGCUGCAUUAGCUAGUUGGUAAGGUAACGGCUUACCAAGGCAACGAUGCAUAGCCGACCUGAGAGGGUGAUCGGCCACACUGGAACUGAGACACGGUCCAGACUCCUACGGGAGGCAGCAGUAGGGAAUCUUCCGCAAUGGGCGAAAGCCUGACGGAGCAACGCCGCGCGAGUGAUGAAGGUCUUCGGAUCGUAAAACUCUGUUAUUAGGGAAGAACAUAUGUGUAAGUAACUGUGCACAUCUUGACGGUACCUAAUCAGAAAGCCACGGCUAACUACGUG